RNAcentral lists this ribosomal RNA (604 nucleotides) under uncultured bacterium. Its description in RNAcentral is "bacterial SSU rRNA". The stretch from base 1 to 531 matches the Rfam family "Bacterial small subunit ribosomal RNA", at positions 338 to 873 of the family's 1533-position model. The record is from RNAcentral.
CCUACGGGAGGCAGCAGUGAGGAAUAUUGGACAAUGGGCGCAAGCCUGAUCCAGCCAUGCCGCGUGCAGGAAGACGCAUCUAUGGUGUGUAAACUGCUUUUGUACGGGAAGAAACACUCCCUCGUGAGGGAGCUUGACGGUACCGUAAGAAUAAGGAUCGGCUAACUCCGUGCCAGCAGCCGCGGUAAUACGGAGGAUCCAAGCGUUAUCCGGAAUCAUUGGGUUUAAAGGGUCCGUAGGCGGUUUAAUAAGUCAGUGGUGAAAGCCCAUCGCUCAACGAUGGAACGGCCAUUGAUACUGUUAGACUUGAAUUACUAGGAAGUAACUAGAAUAUGUAGUGUAGCGGUGAAAUGCUUAGAUAUUACAUGGAAUACCAAUUGCGAAGGCAGGUUACUACUAGUGGAUUGACGCUGAUGGACGAAAGCGUGGGGAGCGAACAGGAUUAGAUACCCUGGUAGUCCACGCCGUAAACGAUGGAUACUAGCUGUUGGGCGCAAGUUCAGUGGCUAAGCGAAAGUGAUAGAUCCCACCGNGGAGGAGUCGUCGAGAAGUUAGAAUANAAGAAGUAGAGNGNGNGAGNGCGAGACGACGACGAGGGAGGAGG